This 1485-nucleotide ribosomal RNA is filed under the name Salmonella enterica subsp. enterica. RNAcentral describes it as "bacterial SSU rRNA". It matches the Rfam family "Bacterial small subunit ribosomal RNA". RNAcentral also lists the same sequence under 1 other name. Lineage: Bacteria; Pseudomonadati; Pseudomonadota; Gammaproteobacteria; Enterobacterales; Enterobacteriaceae. The record is from RNAcentral.
CGGCAGGCCUAACACAUGCAAGUCGAACGGUAACAGGAAGCAGCUUGCUGCUUUGCUGACGAGUGGCGGACGGGUGAGUAAUGUCUGGGAAACUGCCUGAUGGAGGGGGAUAACUACUGGAAACGGUGGCUAAUACCGCAUAACGUCGCAAGACCAAAGAGGGGGACCUUCGGGCCUCUUGCCAUCAGAUGUGCCCAGAUGGGAUUAGCUUGUUGGUGAGGUAACGGCUCACCAAGGCGACGAUCCCUAGCUGGUCUGAGAGGAUGACCAGCCACACUGGAACUGAGACACGGUCCAGACUCCUACGGGAGGCAGCAGUGGGGAAUAUUGCACAAUGGGCGCAAGCCUGAUGCAGCCAUGCCGCGUGUAUGAAGAAGGCCUUCGGGUUGUAAAGUACUUUCAGCGGGGAGGAAGGUGUUGUGGUUAAUAACCGCAGCAAUUGACGUUACCCGCAGAAGAAGCACCGGCUAACUCCGUGCCAGCAGCCGCGGUAAUACGGAGGGUGCAAGCGUUAAUCGGAAUUACUGGGCGUAAAGCGCACGCAGGCGGUCUGUCAAGUCGGAUGUGAAAUCCCCGGGCUCAACCUGGGAACUGCAUUCGAAACUGGCAGGCUUGAGUCUUGUAGAGGGGGGUAGAAUUCCAGGUGUAGCGGUGAAAUGCGUAGAGAUCUGGAGGAAUACCGGUGGCGAAGGCGGCCCCCUGGACAAAGACUGACGCUCAGGUGCGAAAGCGUGGGGAGCAAACAGGAUUAGAUACCCUGGUAGUCCACGCCGUAAACGAUGUCUACUUGGAGGUUGUGCCCUUGAGGCGUGGCUUCCGGAGCUAACGCGUUAAGUAGACCGCCUGGGGAGUACGGCCGCAAGGUUAAAACUCAAAUGAAUUGACGGGGGCCCGCACAAGCGGUGGAGCAUGUGGUUUAAUUCGAUGCAACGCGAAGAACCUUACCUGGUCUUGACAUCCACAGAAGAAUCCAGAGAUGGAUUUGUGCCUUCGGGAACUGUGAGACAGGUGCUGCAUGGCUGUCGUCAGCUCGUGUUGUGAAAUGUUGGGUUAAGUCCCGCAACGAGCGCAACCCUUAUCCUUUGUUGCCAGCGGUUAGGCCGGGAACUCAAAGGAGACUGCCAGUGAUAAACUGGAGGAAGGUGGGGAUGACGUCAAGUCAUCAUGGCCCUUACGACCAGGGCUACACACGUGCUACAAUGGCGCAUACAAAGAGAAGCGACCUCGCGAGAGCAAGCGGACCUCAUAAAGUGCGUCGUAGUCCGGAUUGGAGUCUGCAACUCGACUCCAUGAAGUCGGAAUCGCUAGUAAUCGUGGAUCAGAAUGCCACGGUGAAUACGUUCCCGGGCCUUGUACACACCGCCCGUCACACCAUGGGAGUGGGUUGCAAAAGAAGUAGGUAGCUUAACCUUCGGGAGGGCGCUUACCACUUUGUGAUUCAUGACUGGGGUGAAGUCGUAACAAGGUAACCGUAGGGGAACCUGC